GGUGGCUCAGUGGUAGAGCACUUGCCUCGUAUGCAUGAGGCCUGGAUUUGAUUCUUCAGCACCA
Dipodomys ordii (Ord's kangaroo rat) is the source of this 64-nucleotide non-coding RNA. The record is from Rfam. Lineage: Eukaryota; Metazoa; Chordata; Mammalia; Rodentia; Heteromyidae.